GAUUAACGCUGGCGGCAUGCCUAAUUACAUGCAAGUCGAACGAGAGUAGCAAUACUCUAGUGGCGAACGGGUGAGUAACACGUAGGUAAACCUGCCUUAGAGACGAGGAUAACUACUGGAAACGGUAGCUAAAACUGGAUAGUAUAUUUUGGGGCAUCCCGAAAUAUUUAAAAGUCCUUAUGGGAAUACUCUAAGAUGGGCCUGCGGUGCAUUAGCUAGUUGGUGAGGUAACGGCCCACCAAGGCGACGAUGCAUAGCUGUGCUGAGAGGCAAUCAGCCACACUGGGACUGAGACACGGCCCAGACUCCUACGGGA
Molecule: ribosomal RNA, 316 nt
Filed under: uncultured bacterium
Lineage: Bacteria
Description: bacterial SSU rRNA
Rfam family: Bacterial small subunit ribosomal RNA
Source: RNAcentral